This 524-nucleotide ribosomal RNA is filed under the name uncultured bacterium. Its description in RNAcentral is "partial 16S ribosomal RNA". It matches the Rfam family "Bacterial small subunit ribosomal RNA", at positions 28 to 523 of the family's 1533-position model. The record is from RNAcentral.
GACGAACGCUGGCGGCGUGCCUAAUACAUGCAAGUCGAACGAAGCUGUUUUAACUGGUGCUUGCACCGACUUAAACAACUGAGUGGCGAACGGGUGAGUAACACGUGGGUAACCUGCCCCAAAGCGGGGGAUAACAUUUGGAAACAGAUGCUAAUACCGCAUAACCACAGAAACCACAUGGUUUCUGUGUCAAAGAUGGUUUCGGCUAUCACUUUGGGAUGGACCCGCGGCGUAUUAGCUAGUUGGUAAGGUAAUGGCUUACCAAGGCAAUGAUACGUAGCCGAACUGGGAGGUUGAUCGGCCACAUUGGGGCUGAGACACGGCGCAAACUCCUACGGGAGGCAGCAGUAGGGAAUCUUCCACAAUGGACGAAAGUCUGAUGGAGCAACGCCGCGUGAGUGAAGAAGGUUUUCGGAUCGUAAAACUCUGUUGUCAGAGAAGAACGUGUGCGAGAGUAACUGCUCGUGCAGUGACGGUAUCUGGCCAGAAAGCCACGGCUAACUACGUGCCAGCCGCCGCCGUAA